Molecule: long non-coding RNA, 346 nt
Filed under: Homo sapiens (human)
Lineage: Eukaryota; Metazoa; Chordata; Mammalia; Primates; Hominidae
Description: HSALNT0374487
Source: RNAcentral
UCAGUCUGACAGCCCACCAGUAACUGAAUCACACCAAUACCCAUGUGAAAUAGGAAGCAGAUUCUUCCCCAGUUGAACCUGAAAUCAAAUCUGAGUCCUGGACAGCAUAGCAAUAGAAGCAUUGUAAGAGAUCCUAAAGGAUAUGGCUACCAGGAGAAAGCUUGCUUGUUGGUGGGAAGAUUCCUUUUCAGUUGUCUGAAGGAGACCCAGUAAUGAAUGCCCUUUGUGCCUACACUGGGUUCGUUUAUCUUGACAUGGCCGUCAACUGCAGCUGCAGACCUCAACCUAUGCCAGAAUGAUGGUGGUGACUUGUACAAAGAAAUGUUAGAGAAAGAGCCACUGUAAA